This 757-nucleotide ribosomal RNA is filed under the name Ramularia pratensis. RNAcentral's name for it is "eukaryotic LSU rRNA". It matches the Rfam family "Eukaryotic large subunit ribosomal RNA", at positions 95 to 883 of the family's 3401-position model. The record is from RNAcentral. Lineage: Eukaryota; Fungi; Ascomycota; Dothideomycetes; Mycosphaerellales; Mycosphaerellaceae.
GAAGCGGCAACAGCUCAAAUUUGAAAUCUGGCGCAAGCCCGAGUUGUAAUUUGUAGAGGAUGCUUCUAGGUAGCGACCGGUCUAAGUUCCUUGGAACAGGACGUCAUAGAGGGUGAGAAUCCCGUAUGUGACCGGCCCGCACCUUCUACGUAGCUCCUUCGACGAGUCGAGUUGUUUGGGAAUGCAGCUCUAAAUGGGAGGUAAAUUUCUUCUAAAGCUAAAUACCGGCCAGAGACCGAUAGCGCACAAGUAGAGUGAUCGAAAGAUGAAAAGCACUUUGGAAAGAGAGUUAAAAAGCACGUGAAAUUGUUGAAAGGGAAGCGCUUACAACCAGACUUCUGGGCGGUGUUCCGCCGGUCUUCUGACCGGUCUACUCACCGUCCCGAGGCCAACAUCAUCUGGGACCGCCGGAUAAGACCUUAGGAAUGUAGCUCCCCUCGGGGAGUGUUAUAGCCUGUGGUGAUGCGGCGCGUCUCGGGUGAGGUCCGCGCUUCGGCAAGGAUGUUGGCGUAAUGGUUGUCAGCGGCCCGUCUUGAAACACGGACCAAGGAGUCUAACAUCUAUGCGAGUGUUCGGGUGUCAAACCCCUACGCGUAAUGAAAGUGAACGGAGGUGGGAAGGGUAACCUGCACCAUCGACCGAUCCUGAUGUCCUCGGAUGGAUUUGAGUAAGAGCAUAGCUGUUGGGACCCGAAAGAUGGUGAACUAUGCCUGAAUAGGGUGAAGCCAGAGGAAACUCUGGUGGAGGCUCGCAGCGG